RNAcentral lists this ribosomal RNA (2410 nucleotides) under Asterionellopsis glacialis. RNAcentral's name for it is "partial Bacterial large subunit ribosomal RNA". It matches the Rfam family "Bacterial large subunit ribosomal RNA", at positions 492 to 2925 of the family's 2925-position model. The record is from RNAcentral. Lineage: Eukaryota; Bacillariophyta; Plagiogrammaphyceae; Rhaphoneidales; Asterionellopsidaceae.
GAACCAGUACCGUGAGGGAAAGGUGAAAAGUACCCCGGGAGGGGAGUGAAAAGAACAUGAAACCAUAAACUUACAAGCAGUAGGAGGACGACUAAAACGUCUAACUUCGUGCCUGUUGAAGAAUGAGCCGGCGACUUAUAAGUAGUGGCAGGUUAAAGCAGAGAAUGCUGAAGCCAUAGUGAAAGCGAGCCUGAAUAGGGCGUACGUCACUGUUUAUAGACCCGAACCCGGAUGAUCUAACCAUGGCCAGGUUGAAGCUUAGGUAAUACUAAGUGGAGGACCGAACCGACUGAUGUUGAAAAAUCAGCGGAUGAGUUGUGGUUAGGGGUGAAAUGCCAAUCGAAUUCGGAGCUAGCUGGUUCUCCCCGAAAUGCGUUUUGGCGCAGCGGUAAAUGUUAUAAUUUAGGGGUAAAGCACUGUUACGUAUGCGGGCUGGUAAUUCGGUACCAAAUCGUUGCAAACUAAGAAUACUAAAUGGAUAAUUUACCAGUGAGACUGUGGGGGAUAAGCUUCAUUGUCAAGAGGGAAACAGCCCAGAGCACCAGUUAAGGCCCCAAAAUAAUUACUAAGUGGCAAAGGAGGUGGGAGUGCAGAAACAAUCAGGAGGUUUGCUUAGAAGCAGCAAUCCUUUAAAGAGUGCGUAAUAGCUCACUGAUCGAGUAAACCUGCGCCGAAAAUGUACGGGACUAAGUAAUUUGCCGAAACUGUGCGAUAUAUUGAAUAUAUCGGUAGGGGAGCGUUCUGUUGUAGGUUGAAGUAUUAGCGGAAGCGGAUAUGGACGAAGCAGAAGUGAGAAUGUCGGCUUGAGUAACGAAAAUAUAGGUGAGAAUCCUAUACCCCGAAAACCCAAGGUUUCCUCCGGAAGGCUCGUCCGCGGAGGGUAAGUCAGGACCUAAGGCGAGGCUGAAAAGCGUAGUCGAUGGAUAACGGGUUAAUAUUCCCGUACCAUUAUUUGUUGAUAUCGAGGGACGGAGAAGGCUAAGCUAGCCGGAUAUUGGUUUACCGGUUUAAGCGUUCGAGAUGUUGAGGAACGGAGAAAACGUUCUGAGUUGAGGCGUGAAUACGAGAUGCUACGGCGUCGAAGUAGUGUAUGUCAGACUUCCAAGAAAAGCUCGCAAUGUCGUAGAUAAAAAAUGCCUGUACCAUAACCGACACAGGUGGGUAGGUAGAGUAUACUAAGGGGCGCGAGAUAACUCUCUCUAAGGAACUCGGCAAAAUAACUCCGUAACUUCGGGAGAAGGAGUGCCUUAUUUAAUAAGGUUGCAAUAACAAGAUCCAAGCAACUGUUUACCAAAAACACAGGUCUCCGCUAAGUCGUAAGACGAUGUAUGGGGGCUGACGCCUGCCCAGUGCCAGAAGGUUAAAGAAGUUGGUUAGCAUUAGCGAAGCUGAUAACUGAAGCCCUGGUGAACGGCGGCCGUAACAAUAACGGUCCUAAGGUAGCGAAAUUCCUUGUCGGGUAAGUUCCGACCUGCACGAAUGGUGUAACCAUGGCCACGCUGUCUCCACCCGAGACUCAGUGAAAUUGAAAUCGCAGUGAAGAUGCUGUGUACCCGCACCUAGACGGAAAGACCCCGUGAACCUUUACUACAGCUUGGCACUGAACAUUGAACCUACAUGUGUAGGAUAGGUGGGAGGCUUUGAAGCACAGUCGCUAGAUUGUGUGGAGCCGUCCUUGAAAUACCACCCUUGUAUGUUUGAUGUUCUAACAUUGGUCCCUUAUCGGGAUUGUGGACAGUGUCUGGUGGGUAGUUUGACUGGGGCGGUCUCCUCCCAAAUAGUAACGGAGGAGCACGAAGGUUAGCUAAUCACGGUCGGACAUCGUGAGGUUAGUGCAAUGGCAUAAGCUAGCUUAACUGCGAGACAGACACGUCGAGCAGGUACGAAAGUAGGUCAUAGUGAUCCGGUGGUUCUGUAUGGAAGGGCCAUCGCUCAACGGAUAAAAGGUACUCCGGGGAUAACAGGCUGAUGAUGCCCAAGAGUCCAUAUCGACGGCAUCGUUUGGCACCUCGAUGUCGGCUCAUCGCAUCCUGGGGCGGUAGUACGUCCCAAGGGUUGGGCUGUUCGCCCAUUAAAGUGGCACGCGAGCUGGGUUCAGAACGUCGUGAGACAGUUCGGUCCCUAUCUGGUGUGGGCGUUGGAUGAUUGAUGGGAGCUGCUCCUAGUACGAGAGGACCGGAGUGGACGAACCGCUGGUGUUCGGGUUGUCAUGCCAAUGGCAUUGCCCGGUAGCUAUGUUCGGAACGGAUAACCGCUGAAAGCAUCUAAGCGGGAAGCCGGCCCAAAGAUGAGUCAUCCCUGAACUUUAAGUUCUGGAAGGGUUGUUAUAGACGAUGACGUUGAUAGGCAGGGUGUGGAAGCGUUGUAAGGCGUUAAGCUAACCUGUACUAAUUGCCCGAGAGGCUUAACC